RNAcentral lists this ribosomal RNA (515 nucleotides) under uncultured bacterium. RNAcentral describes it as "partial 16S ribosomal RNA". It matches the Rfam family "Bacterial small subunit ribosomal RNA", at positions 28 to 523 of the family's 1533-position model. The record is from RNAcentral.
GAUGAACGCUGGCGGCGUGCCUGAUACAUGCAAGUCGAGCGAAUGGAUUAAGAGCUUGCUCUUAUGGAGUUAGCGCCGGACGGGUGAGUAACACGUGGGUAACCUGCCCAUAAGACUGGGAUAACUCCGGGAAACCGGGGCUAAUACCGGAUAACAUUUUGAACCGCAUGGUUCGAAAUUGAAAGGCGGCUUCGGCUGUCACUUAUGGAUGGACCCGCGUCGCAUUAGCUAGUUGGUGAGGUAACGGCUCACCAAGGCAACGAUGCGUAGCCGACCUGAGAGGGUGAUCGGCCACACUGGGACUGAGACACGGCCCAGACUCCUACGGGAGGCAGCAGUAGGGAAUCUUCCGCAAUGGACGAAAGUCUGACGGAGCAACGCCGCGUGAGUGAUGAAGGCUUUCGGGUCGUAGAACUCUGUUGUUAGGGAAGAACAAGUGCUAGUUGAAUAAGCUGGCACCUUGACGGUACCUAACCAGAAAGCCACGGCUAACUACGUGCCAGCCGCCGCAGUAA